ACAUUCCAGGCUCUGUGAACUAAGUGACUGAAGCUGAUUGACACAGGUCAAGGGGACUUCAAGGAAGAAAGCCAGCCUUAGACUGACAUCAGAGAACCAAACUCCGGUGUCUAAGCUCAAGUAAUACAAGUAAUUGGGAAGACACUGGCUCAGAGCCUGUCUCUGGUGACCACUGAAUUGUCCAGCACCUGAGGUCCCUGGAGCCCACGGACUGAGCCCAUCUGGGCUAAAAGAGGUCCCAUACAUCCUUCUCAAAGGCCUAUAUAAAUGCCAAGCAGAGUUAUAGCAGGAGGUUAGAAUCCUGAGAACUGUUUGGAAUAAGGAAUCCAAAUAUUGUCUUCCAGCUUCACCUUGUCACGACAGUCCUCGCCAGGGACAGCUGAGACCUCUUCUCUGCCUCCCAGCUCCCAUGGCGCCUCUCUCGAUACGUGGCCUCUUCUGAUACUUACCUCAGCUUGGACACAGCUCUCUGAAGAUCAUCUACAUCUCCAUUUAUGCCGUGUGCACGCAGUACCAACAGAGGUCAGAGGAGGGUGUCGGAUCCCCUGGAACUGGAGUCACAGAUUCUUCCUUGCGUGGAUGAAACAGUCCCAACGAACACUUUAAAAAGACAAAUGUUCCCGACAGCACUGGUUGAAUUCAAAACUCGGCAGAUCCAUGUUCUUAUCCUUAGACAAGAGAGGGGCCAUAACAAGAUGGAAUGACGGAACAGACGUGAGAGAUGAUGUCCACCCAGAGGGUCUGCACUUCUCGGAGCCAGAAGGUGGAGAAGAGUAGGGAUGGAGGAAGUUCGAAGUUUUAGGAGUCUGCUCUUGGGUCCCUAGGCAUGAGGACAAGCUUUUCCUGUACUCAAUGCUCAUCUCUCAGUUGUGCCCACAUUGGUACACAUUACUUGCUUUCAACUGCUGCUGCUGCUGUUUCCUAAUUCAAUAAAGAUAUGGCUGGCUCAGCAGAGAGCUGUCAUC
RNAcentral lists this long non-coding RNA (965 nucleotides) under Mus musculus (house mouse). RNAcentral's name for it is "predicted gene 29154". Lineage: Eukaryota; Metazoa; Chordata; Mammalia; Rodentia; Muridae. The record is from RNAcentral.